This is a non-coding RNA of Acanthosepion pharaonis, 100 nucleotides long. The record is from the annotation of a GenBank genome assembly. Lineage: Eukaryota; Metazoa; Mollusca; Cephalopoda; Sepiida; Sepiidae.
UGCUGAAUCACUGGUUCCUGUACGAUCACCGAAAUUAAGCAAUGUCAAGCCUUGUCAGUACUUAGAUGGGUGAUCGCUUGAGAAUAUCAGGUGCUGUAAG